This is a long non-coding RNA of Balaenoptera ricei (Rice's whale), 530 nucleotides long. RefSeq lists it as uncharacterized. The transcript has 4 exons. Lineage: Eukaryota; Metazoa; Chordata; Mammalia; Artiodactyla; Balaenopteridae. The record is from RefSeq and is a predicted model, not a curated record.
AAGUGCAGGUGGUUGACCCUGGAGGAAUUCAAGCAGAGCAUGAUUUUUGCUGCAUGGAGAAGGAAGUUUGGUUUGGAUUUACAAGUCUCAGGAGAAAGGUAAAUGCAUUUUCCUGGGCCUCUGUUGAAGCAGCCAGGUGCCACUUCCUGGAGCUGUUGCUGGUCCCUAACAUAGCCACAGAGAGCAUCAGGAUACAGGACACCGAAGGACCUCACUGUUCCAGAGGAUGCAGCAGAAAAUACGUCAAACCCAUGCCAGGACAGGAAGAGGCACUGCCACCUAUAGGCAACCAACUCUGUUCCAGUCUCAGACCACCCCAGUGAUGAGACCACCGUCUGUCCCGUGGCUGCCAUCCCCUGGCAAACAGGGAAGAAGAGAAUAAUGAGAUAAUGCAUGCAGAGCACUGGCCAGAAGCCUUGCCUUAGAGGAAGCACUCACUGAGAAUUUGCCCUGUAUGUUUAUUGGUGAUUAUGACUAAUUCCUGUCAAUGACGCAGGGCAGACCCAACACUGUAUACAAAUGGACACACC